Molecule: ribosomal RNA, 1435 nt
Filed under: uncultured marine bacterium
Lineage: Bacteria
Description: bacterial SSU rRNA
Rfam family: Bacterial small subunit ribosomal RNA
Source: RNAcentral
GAGUUUGAUCCUGGCUCAGAACGUACGCUGGCGGCACGCCUAACACAUGCAAGUCGAACGAAGUAGCAAUACUUAGUGGCAGACGGGUGAGUAACAUGUAGGUAUCUACCCUUUGACCUGGAAUAACACGAGGAAACUUGUGCUAAUACCGGAUAAGUCUUUACGGAGAAAGCUUUAUGCACCAUUGGAUGAGCCUGCACUUGAUUAGUUUGUUGGUGGGGUAAUGGCCUACCAAGACUGUGAUCAAUAGCUGAUUUGAGAGGACGAUCAGCCACAUUGGGACUGAGACACGGCCCAAACUCCUACGGGAGGCAGCAGUGGGGAAUCUUGCACAAUGGAGGAAACUCUGAUGCAGCGAUGCCGCGUGAGUGAAGAAGGCCUUUGGGUUGUAAAGCUCUUUCGUCGGGGAAGAAAAUGACUGUACCCGAAUAAGAAGGUCCGGCUAACUUCGUGCCAGCAGCCGCGGUAAUACGAAGGGACCUAGCGUAGUUCGGAAUUACUGGGCUUAAAGAGUUCGUAGGUGGUUGAAAAAGUUGGUGGUGAAAUCCCAGAGCUCAACUCUGGAACUGCCAUCAAAACUUUUCAGCUAGAGUUUGAUAGAGGAAAGCAGAAUUUCUAGUGUAGAGGUGAAAUUCGUAGAUAUUAGAAAGAAUACCAAUUGCGAAGGCAGCUUUCUGGAUCAUUACUGACACUGAGGAACGAAAGCAUGGGUAGCGAAGAGGAUUAGAUACCCUCGUAGUCCAUGCCGUAAACGAUGUGUGUUAGACGUUGGAAAUUUAUUUUCAGUGUCGCAGCGAAAGCGAUAAACACACCGCCUGGGGAGUACGACCGCAAGGUUAAAACUCAAAUGAAUUGACGGGGACCCGCACAAGUAGUGGAGCAUGUGGUUUAAUUCGAAGAUACGCGCAGAACCUUACCAACACUUGACAUGUUCGUCGCGACUCUAAGAGAUUAGAGUUUUCGGUUCGGCCGGACGAAACACAGGUGCUGCAUGGCUGUCGUCAGCUCGUGUCGUGAGAUGUUGGGUUAAGUCCCGCAACGAGCGCAACUCUCACUUUUAGUUGCCAUCAUUUAGUUGGGCACUCUGAAAGAACUACCAGUGAUAAGCUGGAGGAAGGUGGGGAUGACGUCAAGUCCUCAUGGCCCUUACGUGUUGGGCUACACACGUGCUACAAUGGUAUCUACAACAGGAAGCAAGACGGCGACGUUAAGCAAAUCCUUAAAAGAUACCUCAGUUCGGAUUGCACUCUGCAACUCGAGUGCAUGAAGCUGGAAUUACUAGUAAUCGUGGAUCAGCGUGCCACGGUGAAUGCGUUCCCGGGUCUUGUACACACCGCCCGUCACACCAUGGGAGUUGGUUCUACCUUAAGGCAAGGUUUAAAACCCUUGACCACGGUAUAGUCAGCGACUGGGGUGAAGUCGUAACAAGGUAACC